AGUGAACGCUGGCGGUAGGCCUAACACAUGCAAGUCGAACGGCAGCACAGUAAGAGCUUGCUCUUACGGGUGGCGAGUGGCGGACGGGUGAGGAAUACAUCGGAAUCUACUUUUUCGUGGGGGAUAACGUAGGGAAACUUACGCUAAUACCGCAUACGACCUACGGGUGAAAGCAGGGGAUCUUCGGACCUUGCGCGAUUGAAUGAGCCGAUGUCGGAUUGCUAGUUGGCGGGGUAAAGGCCCACCAAGGCGACGAUCCGUAGCUGGUCUGAGAGGAUGAUCAGCCACACUGGAACUGAGACACGGUCCAGACUCCUACGGGAGGCAGCAGUGGGGAAUAUUGGACAAUGGGCGCAAGCCUGAUCCAGCCAUACCGCGUGGGUGAAGAAGGCCUUCGGGUUGUAAAGCCCUUUUGUUGGGAAAGAAAAGCAGCAGGUUAAUACCCCGCUGUUCUGACGGUACCCAAAGAAUAAGUACCGGCUAACUUCGUG
This 491-nucleotide ribosomal RNA is filed under the name uncultured bacterium. RNAcentral's name for it is "partial 16S ribosomal RNA". It matches the Rfam family "Bacterial small subunit ribosomal RNA", at positions 29 to 507 of the family's 1533-position model. The record is from RNAcentral.